Molecule: long non-coding RNA, 296 nt
Filed under: Homo sapiens (human)
Lineage: Eukaryota; Metazoa; Chordata; Mammalia; Primates; Hominidae
Description: HSALNT0376570
Source: RNAcentral
GGAUGUUCUCCUAAAUGGGAAGCCUUAAUUCUGUGUGUAAUUUAUAAAGCCAUGGAGAAGAGGAGACAGAGUGUGCAAGGGAAUGAAGAAAAGGAACAAGACUAUUUUCAAAUCACCCAUGGCACUACUAGAAAUGUAUUUCAGCAAAAGGACUGGCUGAUUUUAUGAUUCCUGUGUCCACCACAGCCCUCUAAUUUUUACAUAGGUACCCCACAUCUCUCUAGAUUUCAGGAAGACUAUUAUCCUUCGACUUUAGCUUUCUGAUGGGUUCACAAAAAGCCAUUAGUGUGCUGUUG